GGUCGUGUCUUUAAGGCGGUUCGCAAUUGCGAUGAAGGCCCCAGUUUGAUUCCUCCGCCACUUUUGUCCACCUGAACUCGUCAUUGCUUGGUUGCCACGGCGUGAAGGAACAAGUCUCGAGCAGUUGAGCUGAAAUUCGAUGUUUACUGAUUUGGUUUCGCUCAUGGUUUUCCUUUGAUCGGUGAAUUUAUUCUUCUAUGUUGGGUAUUUUUGCAAGUGGACGUGUGAAGGAGCGCUGAAGGAUGUAACGCCAACCUGAGUUUCAUGGAGGGAUAAUGCCAGAGUUGCGAAGUGGUGCUCGGAGAGGUCUGAAAUCAAACAAGGUUGACAACGUCAAGGCAGCAGACCCCGUCGGGAGUCCGGCAGUGCCAACUCCACGAGGGAGGCUUAGAAGGUUUGGAGGUGCUGCAGCUGGUAGAGUUAACAAGGUAGCUGCCAAGGGAAGAGGCAGGACGGCUUCAAAACAUAGGGGAAAGAGGUUCAAGGUUAUCGAUUUGCAGACUGAUCUGCCUUGCAAGAACCUCCUGAAGCUGUUGCUGGUGAGGCAGUUAUCGUCAGAGCCCAGGAGGACCUUUGUUUGAGCAAGGCAGCUGACCGGGGUCCCAGCUUAAGAAUGGAUGGCGAUAGUGGGGACAAAUUUGCAGUGGCUGAGGAUGACGCCACGGCAACCCCAGUGCCUGAGAGGGUUCAAGUAGGUAAUUCCCCAGAAUAUUUAACUGAUAGAAAGUUAGGCAAAGGUGGUUUUGGCCAGGUCUAUGUUGGAAAAAGAGUAUCUGGUGGAUCUUCUCGUAUGGGUCCUGAUGCAUAUGAGGUUGCACUGAAAUUUGAGCAUCGAAGUAGCAAGGGAUGCAACUACGCCCCCCCAUAUGAGUGGCAGGUUUAUCAAACUCUCAACGGUUGUUAUGGCAUUCCAUCAGUCCACUACAAGGGUCGCCAGGGAGACUACUACAUUCUCGUAAUGGAUAUGCUUGGUUCUAGCCUCUGGGAUGUUUGGAAUUCUGUAGGACAGGCGAUGUCUCCUCAUAUGGUUGCUUGUAUUGCUGUUGAGGCCAUAUCAAUUCUUGAGAAACUUCACUCAAAAGGCUUUGUGCAUGGCGAUGUGAAACCAGAGAACUUUUUGCUUGGUCAACCUGGGUCACCUGAUGAAAAGAAGCUUUUCCUGAUUGAUCUCGGUUUAGCAUCCAGGUGGAAAGAAGUAGCAUCUGGUAAACAUGUUCAAUAUGAUCAGAGGCCAGAUAUCUUUAGGGGAACAAUUAGAUAUGCUAGUGUCCAUGCCCAUUUAGGUCGUAAUGGUAGUAGGAGGGAUGAUCUGGAGUCACUGGCAUACACCCUUAUUUUUUUGAUAAGAGGAAGAUUGCCUUGGCAAGGCUACCAGGGAGAUAACAAGAGUUUUCUUGUCUGUAAGAAGAAAAUGGCUACUUCUCCGGAGAUACUGUGUUGCUUCUGUCCAGCUCCUUUCAAACAUUUUCUUGAGAUGGUCACCAAUAUGAAAUUUGAUGAAGAGCCAAAUUACCCAAAGCUUAUUUCUCUUUUUGAUGGUUUGAUAGAAGGGCCUGCUUCAAGGCCUAUCAGAAUUGAUGGAGCUCUAAAGGUUGGACAGAAACGUGGAAGAACACCUGCAAAUCUUGAGGGCGAUGAACAACCUAAGAAGAAAGUUAGAUUGGGGAGCCCAGCAACUCAAUGGAUUUCAGUUUAUAAUGCUAGGCGGCCAAUGAAGCAGAGAUAUCAUUAUAAUGUAGCUGAUGCAAGGCUGCACCAGCAUAUAGAAAAAGGUAAUCAAGAUGGCUUGUAUAUCAGUUCUGUGGCUUCUUCAGCAAAUUUCUGGGCUCUCAUCAUGGAUGCUGGGACUGGGUUUUGUUCUCAAGUUUAUGAGCUCUCACAAGUGUUUCUGAACAAGGAGUGGAUUACGGAACAGUGGGAGAAGAAUUAUCACAUAACAGCAAUAGCUGGAGCAACCAAUGGAAGUUCCUUGGUUGUAAUGUCCAAAGGAACUCCUUACACACAGCAGUCAUACAAAGUCAGUGAAUCAUUUCCUUAUAAGUGGAUUAAUAAAAAAUGGAAAGAAGGCUUUCAUGUAACAUCCAUGGCUACUGCUGGGAAUCGUUGGGGAGUGGUCAUGUCCAGGAAUUCGGGCUAUGCUACUCAGGUUGUGGAGUUGGACUUUCUGUAUCCUAGUGAAGGGAUCCAUCAUCGAUGGGAGACUGGUUACAGAAUAACAUCAACUGCAGCUACCCCCGACCAAGCUGCUUUUAUCUUGAGCAUACCGAAGAGGAAACCAAUGGAUGAGACGCAAGAAACUCUUCGGACAUCCGCCUUCCCCAGCAACCAUGUAAAGGAAAAAUGGGUGAAGAACCUAUAUAUUUCCUCAAUGUGCUAUGGCCGAACUGUGUGCUGACAGCUAUGUCAAAGCUCCAAGGUGAAGGCACUCGAGUUUCCAGUGGAAGGCUGAAGACCUGCGAGAUGGGAGUCGGAACAAACUUCCUCAUAUAGCAUCGGAUUGCAAAUGGCUGGCAUGGCCUCUUGCAAUAUCCUACUCUAGUCUAGUUGUAAAGGAUCAUUUGUUUGCGAUGCUGUAUCAGAUGUGAACCUUGCCCACAAGCUAGUCACGUACUAUUUGUUGUAUGUGCUUUCUCCAAUAACCAUUGGCACAUUCAGCUCGUA
Panicum virgatum (switchgrass) is the source of this 2661-nucleotide RNA transcript. It is a transcript of the gene named casein kinase 1-like protein HD16, with no coding region annotated. The transcript is spliced from 16 exons. Lineage: Eukaryota; Viridiplantae; Streptophyta; Magnoliopsida; Poales; Poaceae. The record is from RefSeq and is a predicted model, not a curated record.